GCGGCACCAAGGUUACACUGUCACACUUUGUUUCACCCUGUUUCUCAUAAAUGUUCACUGUAUGAGGGCAGCCUGAUAGGAGCCAGACUGUCUUCCUCAUCCACCAUGCAAAACCAUCAUAGUCCGCACUUCAGCAUUAUUGAAGCAGCGUGGGAUCAUUUUGACAGAUAAGGAAGGAUAAGGCAGCCGAAAUCCAAAGAUGAGCUUUGAUUGUCCUUUACGAACUCUGGAGAAGCAUCCCUGAAGACUACUUAAAGAAAUUAGAAGAAAACUGACUAAGAGAGGUCAGGCUGUGUUAAAGAAUAAAGGUGGUCACACCAAAUAUUGAUCUUCAAGCUUGUUAAAAUUGUAGAUACACUGUUUUUGCCUUAUUUACUGCAUUUCAUUAUAUUAAAAAAACAAAACAACUGAUGCACAAAUUACCAAUUUUCCAAGUAAAAUAUCAAGAAAUGAGAUAUGCUAAUACAGUAAUGUGCUCAAAAUUUUUGCACAUUACUGUAUUGUACUGUAUUAUUAAUAAUUAUUUUAAUUAAUUUUGUUUGCUCACUCACUUAAGGUACUGCAUGUACAAAAAAAAGGUUGCCUUUCAAUCCUGUAAACAAACAUGAUUAAAAAAAAUCUACUAGCUUUUUAAAAAAAUGUCAGAAAACAUCUUGUACCACAUGUGUCUUGGGUUCUUAUCAGAGAGGAAGUUCUUUGCUGGGUUACCAAACAGCCACCAUACUCAAAUGUUUACUCAGCACUCAAAGAAAUCAGUUCAAUGGCCUUUGGUUAAACCAGACUCUCCUUCUUUUUAAAAAAAAAAAAUGUUAAAAUGUAUUUAAUGCAUUAAAUUUGAG
This is a long non-coding RNA of Oreochromis aureus, 839 nucleotides long. The record is from Ensembl. NCBI's taxonomy places the organism in Eukaryota, Metazoa, Chordata, Actinopteri, Cichliformes, Cichlidae.